UGGGGAAUUUUGGACAAUGGGCGAAAGCCUGAUCCAGCAAUGCCGCGUGUGCGAAGAAGGCCUUCGGGUUGUAAAGCACUUUUGUCCGGAAAGAAAUCCGCCUGGCUAAUACCCGGGCGGGAUGACGGUACCGGAAGAAUAAGCACCGGCUAACUACGUGCCAGCAGCCGCGGUAAUACGUAGGGUGCGAGCGUUAAUCGGAAUUACUGGGCGUAAAGCGUGCGCAGGCGGCUUUGUAAGACAGAUGUGAAAUCCCCGGGCUCAACCUGGGAACUGCAUUUGUGACUGCAAGGCUAGAGUGCGUCAGAGGGAGGUGGAAUUCCGCGUGUAGCAGUGAAAUGCGUAGAGAUGCGGAGGAACACCGAUGGCGAAGGCAGCCUCCUGGGAUGACACUGACGCUCAUGCACGAAAGCGUGGGGAGCAAACA
RNAcentral lists this ribosomal RNA (427 nucleotides) under uncultured bacterium. Its description in RNAcentral is "bacterial SSU rRNA". It matches the Rfam family "Bacterial small subunit ribosomal RNA", at positions 355 to 774 of the family's 1533-position model. The record is from RNAcentral.